Molecule: long non-coding RNA, 315 nt
Filed under: Bos taurus (domestic cattle)
Lineage: Eukaryota; Metazoa; Chordata; Mammalia; Artiodactyla; Bovidae
Description: long non-coding RNA NONBTAT025756
Source: RNAcentral
CCAAAUCAUCCUUGUUCCAAAUAGUAACUUCAGUUUCUCAUCCUUAGUAAUGGAUCAUGAAUUCUCUUCAUGGGAGUUAACUGAAAUAAUAUGGCAAGUUAGUAGAUAAAAAGUUUCAGUGCAGGUAACAUGUCUUUUCAAACCUAUUAGGCUCAAGAAAUGAAUUUGGGCUACAGACCUAUUACUUUGUAACAAUGCCUGUUUUAUAGAGAAAGCAAGAAUUCUUGGCUACAUAGUACAUUGAAACAUGUAUAAAAUUUUCAGUUCUCCUCUUCCCAGUGUAACUUGACUUGCCCAUAUGGAGCCUGAAAAUGA